This 595-nucleotide ribosomal RNA is filed under the name uncultured Bacteroidales bacterium. Its description in RNAcentral is "bacterial SSU rRNA". It matches the Rfam family "Bacterial small subunit ribosomal RNA", at positions 100 to 696 of the family's 1533-position model. The record is from RNAcentral. Lineage: Bacteria; Pseudomonadati; Bacteroidota; Bacteroidia; Bacteroidales.
CACGGGUGAGUAACACGUAUCCAACUGCCGUCUACUCUUGGACAGCCUUCUGAAAGGAAGAUAAUACAGGAUGGCAUCAUGAGUCCGCAUGUUCACAUGAUUAAAGGUAUUCCGGUAGACGAUGGGGAUGCGUUCCAUUAGAUAGUAGGCGGGGUAACGGCCCACCUAGUCUUCGAUGGAUAGGGGUUCUGAGAGGAAGGUCCCCCACAUUGGAACUGAGACACGGUCCAAACUCCUACGGGAGGCAGCAGUGAGGAAUAUUGGUCAAUGGACGCGAGUCUGAACCAGCCAAGUAGCGUGAAGGAUGACUGCCCUAUGGGUUGUAAACUUCUUUUAUAAAGGAAUAAAGUCGGGUAUGUAUACCCGUUUGCAUGUACUUUAUGAAUAAGGAUCGGCUAACUCCGUGCCAGCAGCCGCGGUAAUACGGAGGAUCCGAGCGUUAUCCGGAUUUAUUGGGUUUAAAGGGAGCGUAGAUGGAUGUUUAAGUCAGUUGUGAAAGUUUGCGGCUCAACCGUAAAAUUGCAGUUGAUACUGGAUAUCUUGAGUGCAGUUGAGGCAGGCGGAAUUCGUGGUGUAGCGGUGAAAUGCUUAGAUA